CCUACGGGAUGCUGCAGUGGGGAAUAUUGGACAAUGGGCGAAAGCCUGAUCCAGCCAUGCCGCGUGUGUGAAGAAGGCCUUCGGGUUGUAAAGCACUUUCAGUGGGGAAGAAAGCCUUGGGGCUAAUACCCUCGAGGAAGGACAUCACCCACAGAAGAAGCACCGGCUAACUCCGUGCCAGCAGCCGCGGUAAUACGGAGGGUGCGAGCGUUAAUCGGAAUUACUGGGCGUAAAGCGCGCGUAGGCGGUCUGAUAAGCCGGUUGUGAAAGCCCCGGGCUCAACCUGGGAACGGCAUCCGGAACUGUCAGGCUAGAGUGCAGGAGAGGAAGGUAGAAUUCCCGGUGUAGCGGUGAAAUGCGUAGAGAUCGGGAGGAAUACCAGUGGCGAAGGCGGCCUUCUGGACUGACACUGACGCUGAGGUGCGAAAGCGUGGGUAGCAAACAGGAUUAGAUACCCCGGUAGUC
Molecule: ribosomal RNA, 465 nt
Filed under: Vreelandella stevensii
Lineage: Bacteria; Pseudomonadati; Pseudomonadota; Gammaproteobacteria; Oceanospirillales; Halomonadaceae
Description: partial 16S ribosomal RNA
Rfam family: Bacterial small subunit ribosomal RNA
Source: RNAcentral